GGGAAUCUACCCAUCUCUGCGGAAUAGCUCUGGGAAACUGGAAUUAAUACCGCAUACGCCCUACGGGGGAAAGAUUUAUCGGGGAUGGAUGAGCCCGCGUUGGAUUAGCUAGUUGGUGGGGUAAAGGCCUACCAAGGCGACGAUCCAUAGCUGGUCUGAGAGGAUGAUCAGCCACAUUGGGACUGAGACACGGCCCAAACUCCUACGGGAGGCAGCAGUGGGGAAUAUUGGACAAUGGGCGCAAGCCUGAUCCAGCCAUGCCGCGUGAGUGAUGAAGGCCUUAGGGUUGUAAAGCUCUUUCACCGGUGAAGAUAAUGACGGUAACCGGAGAAGAAGCCCCGGCUAACUUCGUGCCAGCAGCCGCGGUAAUACGAAGGGGGCUAGCGUUGUUCGGAAUUACUGGGCGUAAAGCGCACGUAGGCGGAUAUUUAAGUCAGGGGUGAAAUCCCAGAGCUCAACUCUGGAACUGCCUUUGAUACUGGGUAUCUUGAGUAUGGAAGAGGUAAGUGGAAUUGCGAGU
This 520-nucleotide ribosomal RNA is filed under the name uncultured bacterium. Its description in RNAcentral is "bacterial SSU rRNA". It matches the Rfam family "Bacterial small subunit ribosomal RNA", at positions 120 to 674 of the family's 1533-position model. The record is from RNAcentral.